RNAcentral lists this ribosomal RNA (275 nucleotides) under uncultured bacterium. RNAcentral describes it as "partial 16S ribosomal RNA". It matches the Rfam family "Bacterial small subunit ribosomal RNA", at positions 28 to 302 of the family's 1533-position model. The record is from RNAcentral.
GACGAACGCUGGCGGCGUGCUUAACACAUGCAAGUCGAGCGGUAAGGCCCUUUCGGGGGUACGACGAGCGGCGAACGGGUGAGUAACACGUGGGUGACCUGCCCUUAGCUCUGGGAGUAAGCCUGGGAAACUGGGUCUAAUACCGGAUAUGACUCCAUGACGCAUGUUGUGGGGUGGAAAGCCUUGUGCGGCUAGGGAUGGGCCCGCGGCCUAUCAGCUUGUUGGUGGGGUGAUGGCCUACCAAGGCGACGACGGGUAGCCGGCCUGAGAGGGCG